RNAcentral lists this ribosomal RNA (484 nucleotides) under uncultured bacterium. RNAcentral's name for it is "partial 16S ribosomal RNA". It matches the Rfam family "Bacterial small subunit ribosomal RNA", at positions 30 to 507 of the family's 1533-position model. The record is from RNAcentral.
AUUGAACGCUGGCGGCAGGCCUAACACAUGCAAGUCGAGCGGAUGAAGGGAGCUUGCUCCUGGAUUCAGCGGCGGACGGGUGAGUAAUGCCUAGGAAUCUGCCUGGUAGUGGGGGAUAACGUCCGGAAACGGGCGCUAAUACCGCAUACGUCCUGAGGGUGAAAGUGGGGGAUCUUCGGACCUCACGCUAUCAGAUGAGCCUAGGUCGGAUUAGCUAGUUGGUGGGGUAAAGGCCUACCAAGGCGACGAUCCGUAACUGGUCUGCGAGGAUGAUCAGUCACACUGGAACUGAGACACGGUCCAGACUCCUACGGGAGGCAGCAGUGGGGAAUAUUGGGCAGUGGGCGGAAGUCUGACCCAGCCAUGGCGCGUGUGUGAAGAAAGUCUUCGGAUUGUAAAGCACUUUAAGUUGUGAGGAAGGGCAGUAAGUUAAUACCUAGCUGUUUUGACGUUAACAACAGAAUAAGCACCGGCUAACUACGUG